RNAcentral lists this long non-coding RNA (4912 nucleotides) under Marmota monax (woodchuck). The record is from RNAcentral. Lineage: Eukaryota; Metazoa; Chordata; Mammalia; Rodentia; Sciuridae.
GUGCCAGUUCACCGAAGCUCCGGCUGAGGUCUUGCUGAGCACCCGCAGGCGCCUGUGUAUCAAUAAAUCGCCUCUCGCUUUUGCAGCCAGUGUCUCGUGUGCUUUUCCUUGGACAGGGAGUCGGAGGGUCUUUCACAGGUUCCUGCAGAGAGUCACAGACUUCUUUCUGGGUCUGGAGCUGGAGUGGUGAUGUCCAGGACAGAAGCUACAAGGUAAGGGGCACAGAAGCCCGUUGUGGGAGGGUCUGAUGCUUUGUAUUUUCCUCUUAGGGUCCAAGGCAACGUAUCAGCCUACAGCAGGUAAAGGGGAGACCUGCUUAUGGUCACACCCAGGUAGAGGGAUGGAAGGUGUUUGGGGAGGGCUAGGCAGGGCUCUUGUCUCCAGAGGCUGAGUAGGAGGACCCUGGCCUCCUGACCUCUCCCCGCAGCAGGCUGAGUGCACUUCAUCCCCUGCUUCCUGGUUCAUUCUGUGGCUCAGAGGCCAGGUAAGUGGCUCUGGAAGAGGAAGUCCCAGGAGUGAUAAGGAGGAUGUUGCUUGGAGGUCUUUCUCUCCCAGAAGAAUCACAACACAGGCUGCUUACAAGGAACUGGACAUCUUACCCUCCCGGAAAACCAGGAGGUAAGGAGCUUAGUCCUAUCUUCCCAGAUGUACUCAGGUCAGUUGAGGAGACACUCCCUCUGGGAGAAGAAGGAGGGCAGUGGUGUUGGUCUGUCCAGGUGUUUGGAGAAAGUGAUGGCCACUCUCAGGCUGAAAGCACCUCCUCGCACACAGGUCUUUGAUGUCAAUAUGUGAGCAAGUGUGAGCACAUGCCCAGGAUGCACAGUUGGUGAGAAGUGACCACUAUGGCCAUUGUGUUUGUUUCUUUCCCUCUACCUGCUAUGGGAAGGAAUGUAGGGAGGUGAGGCCGCUCAGACCUGGAGGGCAUGGUAAGGGCUAUUUCAACUGUUAAUUUUUCCAUUGAUUCUGUGUGUGAUUCUUUAUGGGAGCUAGGAAGAGCCUGAGACAGAAGAUGCAAGAGGGGAGGACCUUGGAGCAUCUGGGGGAUGGCAGGCCUUGCUGUCUUUGCCACAGGAAGUGCACCGUCCCUCCCUGGGUUUGGAAUGGACAAGAGCCUGCUGUCCUCACCUGGAGGAGUCUUCCUACUGCAUAGCAGGUUGGAGCUCUUUAUGCAUUUUUCCUGCAAUUUCAGCAGCUCUCCACCGCUUCAACCCAGCCUCAUGGAAAUUUGGCUGUGACCUGCGGACAGGAGAUGGCUUUUCUCCGUCUCUUCCCACACCUAGUCAUGCCCCACACGUGUUUACUGCCCAUCCACCUGUGGCCAGAUUUGGUGAGCUCCCUGCCUUCUCCAGGUUUAGCCGACCUGCUUGGGUUGUGCAGCUGCUAUCUGGCAGCCCAGGGACUCUGACCAAGCCCCUGUCCCUAGGGUCUGCGUUCUCAGAAACAACUCUGCUUCCUCUCUGUAGGAGACUUGGCACAGGAGAGGGAGAUGCAGAGGCUGGACCUAUCAGGCCAGGGAGCUACCUUCUGGAGACUUCAAUCAGAAGGGGUAGGGAGUUUUCAACUCUAGAUUUCCAAAAGUGUUCUGCUUGGGUCCCUUUGGUGACCACGGGGACUUGAAAACCCUCAUCAGUCCUGGGGGAUGUUCUGGUUUCUCCAAAGAACUGUGAAGGUCAUUGGGUACCACAAAAUAUUUGUCAUCAGGACCAAAAGGCCUCAAAAGCUCAGUGUGACUGUUGUGUGUCCGCCAGGUUCAGUGGAAACAUGGCUCCUCUCAGCCUCUUUGCUGAUUCUGGUUUGAAGGUAUUUAAUUCCUCCCUCUCUCCAGGUACGGUUUACAAACAGGCACGGAGAACCCAGCAGCAAGAAGUUUUCCCUGAUACUAUUUUUGGGUGCAGGCACAGGACUGGGGAUGGAACCCAGCGAUGCUUUACCUCUGAUCUACAUUCCUCGUCCUUUUCACUUUUUAUGGAGACAGGGUCUUGCUAAGUUGCUAAGGCUGGUCUGGAACUUGCAAUCUGCCUUCUUCAGCCUCCUGAGAAGCUGAGAUUACAGGCGUGUGUCACCAAGCCCAUCGGGAGGUUGGCUCUGAAAGCCAUAAAGGGCUGUUGAUCCUCAGGGAGUUGGGACGCAGGUGAGAGCAUGAAAACUUGGAUGAACAGCUUCCCUUUCUACAGACACAGACGGUCAGUCUUCAUAAAGUAAUAAGAACACAUGUCAUUUUGUGCUACUAAUAAAUGCCUCAUUUGUCCACCAUGGCUAAUAUUUAGGAAUUCUUAUUACUUAGUCUGGGGACUACACUCUGGACAUUUCUGGUGUCCUUCAUUUUGUGCCUUGAGGAAGAGUUUCCCUCUGAGUUGAUACUCUGACUACUACUGCUGCACACACACACACACAUACAGAGAGAGAGAGAGAGAGAGAGAGAGAGAGAGAGAGAGAGAGGGAGAGGGAGAGAUUGAUUUUGUUGUAGUUGUUGCUCUGUGGUGGGGGGGAUCAAACCCAGGGCCUUGUAGGUGCCAGGCCUCACUCUGCCACAGCUACUCUGUGCUGGUGCACUUAUUUAUAAAAUUUCUAGGUCUUGAUUAUCCCCACAGGCUUUACUUGCAUGUUUGCUGUGACAACGGAUGGUCCUACCAGCAGGAGGCAAGGAACACAGGUGAGUCUGUCUACAGGUUGCAAAAGGUCCAUGUAAGAUCUUUCAUGUUUGUAAGGAACACUGAGAACGUGUGUCCACGUGCAGCUCUGAAAGGGAUGGGGAACGUGUUGUGUUCCUUUUGGGUACCAUGGAUCACUCACAGGAAUUUGAUGCAGGCCUGUAUGUUGCAGGAUUUGUCCCCAUGACCCAGAUGUAAAUCUGAUGAAAACAGAUCUUCCCUCAAGUCACCUGGAGUCAGGUAGGGGAGAGAAAGGCUGGAAUAAAGAGGUGAAAUGAAAGGAGCAGGUGGCAGAGACAGAGGUAAGUGUCCCUCUCUUCCCACCCCCAAGGGUAUGUGAGAACUUCCGACCUGGCUUCCUAACCAGUUAUAGGGAGGCCAUUACCUCCCUCACAGGUCACCCAGUUCCACUUGGGCAAUGUAGGGAGGUCUUUCUGGUCUUCACACUGGCAGAACAGAGUAGAAAUAGGGCUUAUCUCAUCAGUCUAAUGUGGUAAUUAGGGUGUUAGAUCAGGAUGUUUGCCAUGAGAAAUGGGUGUCCCUGUCAGCUCUGAGAGGGACCGUGGCCUUUCCUGCACCGACAUGUGAAGUGCAUCUCAGGAAGAAACAAGGAAAGUCAGAGAGACCGAUGGGAACAAGAUGGAAGGACGUUUGGGGGAGAUGACUUCUCUGGAGGAGAGGAGCUGGUGGGUGAUGGUUCUGGCCACCCAUUUUCCUGAUGCUCACUUCUUCCCCUUCAGGUUCCCAACCCCCAUGAAGAAUCACAGGUAUUCCCUGGUGGGGAAAGAGGUUCUGGAUCCUCCACACAUCCACUUGAUUUUCUGAGGCACUUGGUGAGGGUGGGGCCAGGGAGUGGGAAGAGAUGGAGGCACAGGCCACCCUCUGCCCGCUUGUGUCCCCAUGAGGUGUCAGGCAAGCAGUGAGGGUGGCCAUUGUGUGGGCUGGGGUGUGAUGCCCCUAGGGUCCUGCAACCUCCCGGUUCCAAUGACUGUAGUAUGGCAACAGCUUGUGUGGAUUCCUCCUUCUUCACUCCGUGUCUGCUCCCCAAAAUCCCCUCUGAUGCAGGGACAGGGAGAAGAUGUGAGACCUGCCAGGUAGGUGCUGCAGGGCUCAAAUCUGCCAGCUCACAUUCCUGUCCUGCGACCUCCCGCCUGCACAUCUAGUCAGCAGAUGGAAGCCUGCCAUUUGUGAAUUCUGUGAGCCCUGGUUGUUUUUUGCUUCUCUUUCCCAGUAAGGGUGGCUGAAGUUAGGGUGAUAGGACUAGAUGAUCUUUAGGACAAGUAGCCCUCUCCCUUGACCCACAGUGGCAACACGUAGAGAAACAUCAGUGUUUCCAGCAGUCGGCUGGAAAGCACACUGGGAACUUAGCAAUAUUUGGUCAGCCAACGCCCAAGGCUCCUUUCAACCCUAAGAAGGUGAGUGGAAGGUGAGUCCAAUCCCCAGCAUUCAAAUAAACGCAGAAAGAGCAACCUGUGGCUCACAGCUAUAAUUGUGAAGGUCAUCUGUUCCUGGGUAAAAACGAUUCUGAAUUAUCUUAGAUCUUUGCUACACCUAGCCUUUCAGCACUGUGAACUGUGAGGCUUCCCUUUCAAUAUCCUGAGAAGGGCAUGGAAACUAAAGUCACAACACUGAAGGGCAGUUGGUGGGCUGCAGUAACUGUGGUUCCGACUGCACCUGUAUACCUGUGAGCACACCUUUGGCAAUGGGCCUUUUUCUCCUCCUCCAGUCAGGCCUGGAAUUCAUUUCCCCACGUACUGACCCUGAGUGGCUCUAUGUGACUCCUUUUGGAAUAGUGUGUUUGAGGCAUGUCAUUGGUCACCUUCCUAGGGCCUGCCAGGGAAGAUGGCUUUUCUUAGUUUCUGCCCUUGUCUGUCAGCAGCUGGAGCUCUCUGUGCUAUGAAGAAUUCCAGAGUGAAAGUUCAAGUGCAGGGAGAGACCCGUCAGCCUGGCUGUUCCUGCCUUUCCUUCUGGGAUCUGAUAUUCUAAUGAGAUGGGCUUCUGAGUCCAGCCCACAUUCCCUGACUGCAAUGGCAUGAGAGAGCUCAGGUUGGUCCAGCAGGGCUUUGUGUGAUCCUCAGGUGAGCACAGGUAGCCUACUUGUGAUCCUCAGUUGAGACUACUUGUUUUCUUCAAUGCGCUCAACUACAUUUCACUUCUCUCAGCUUUUCUUAUUCAUCUACAAAUGUGAUAAAGCAAAGAUGACCCAAAUAGACUACUUAAAAUAGAGGAAUAAGAGAAUUUGCAGAAAUAUGCAUCAGCUC